This is a long non-coding RNA of Zalophus californianus (California sea lion), 377 nucleotides long. RefSeq lists it as uncharacterized. The transcript is spliced from 3 exons. NCBI's taxonomy places the organism in Eukaryota, Metazoa, Chordata, Mammalia, Carnivora, Otariidae. The record is from RefSeq and is a predicted model, not a curated record.
UUGAAGACGGCAAAUGUCAACCUAUGGCAUCAAUUGGUGACUCUGGAAAACUAGUCCCACAUAGUACAGGGAGGCCUCGAAGAACUCUUGUACCUUUCCGUUAAGCCCAAAGACACCAUCCAGAUACCUUCCUUCCUGAUUCCAGAGCGCUUCAGGUCCUUUGGUGGCCAUGCUUUUCGUCUCCUAUGCUGAGUCAUAUUCAUUUCCCUGACUUCUUAACACUGGUAUUUGUCUCCUCCAACCAUACCCACCUCCAAGCCCGCCAGGGAAAUCAGGAGCAGCCCAGAUCCGUCGUCAGGAUGCCAUGCUAACACCAGCGGGAAAGGCUUAGUCUGUGCCCUCUCCGCUCCCCAUCUCAUGCCCAGCCAGUGUUUUGG